This 254-nucleotide ribosomal RNA is filed under the name uncultured bacterium. RNAcentral describes it as "partial 16S ribosomal RNA". It matches the Rfam family "Bacterial small subunit ribosomal RNA", at positions 524 to 776 of the family's 1533-position model. The record is from RNAcentral.
UACGGAGGGGGCAAGCGUUGUUCGGAAUUACUGGGCGUAAAGGGCGCGCAGGCGGCUGCUCAAGUCAGGCGUGAAAGGCCUGGGCUCAACCCGGGAAUUGCGCUUGAGACUGGGCUGGCUUGAGUGCGGGAGAGGAUGGUGGAAUUCCCAGUGUAGAGGUGAAAUUCGUAGAUAUUGGGAAGAACACCAGUGGCGAAGGCGGCUCACUGGCCCGGUACUGACGCUGAGGUGCGAAAGCGUGGGGAGCAAACAGG